CGUAGCUCAGUUGGUAGAGCACCUGACUCUUAAUCAGGGUGUCAAGGGUUCGAUCCCCUUCG
RNAcentral lists this transfer RNA (62 nucleotides) under bovine gut metagenome. It matches the Rfam family "tRNA", at positions 6 to 65 of the family's 71-position model. From Rfam's summary of the family: Transfer RNA (tRNA) molecules are approximately 80 nucleotides in length. Their secondary structure includes four short double-helical elements and three loops (D, anti-codon, and T loops). The record is from RNAcentral.